UAGCUCAUUAAAGAUCUUAUUCUAACCUAGGUUAGGUCUUAGGGCGAAUAACUAUGUAAGGUGUCGACACAAUGAUAAAUGACUAAACACAAUAGCAAAAAAUCUUCUGCCCGAAAUGGCGGGAAUAUUUAUCCCAGACUGCGAGAAUGAAGUCUGUGUGGAGGGGAGGAGGAGACUUGUGGAAGCUUCUAGAACACUGGGUCACGUGGUCGCACCUAAUCAAAUUGGAGGACUGUUUGCAAACACAUAUAGACAGCAAUUUGAUUCCUGCCGAUGUGUCGUACUGCAUAAAUGUCCCAAAUUCUAUAAUAAGCUAAAGCGUCACAGUUUAGACCAGUACAUGCUAAAUGAUGCCAACAAACUGUACUGUGUCCACUACGGAAACACAGCAGAAGGUGGUGCCCCUGAGUUCGAGGAGUUUUUCGAUAACCUCACCAUCUGCCCGGCAACCAAUGACAACAACAUCGCUGAGUUUUUAAACAAUUUUCUCUUCAAUAGUGCGCACACAAGGAAUGUCGA
This is a long non-coding RNA of Physella acuta, 519 nucleotides long. RefSeq lists it as uncharacterized. The record is from RefSeq and is a predicted model, not a curated record. Lineage: Eukaryota; Metazoa; Mollusca; Gastropoda; Physidae.